This 1635-nucleotide long non-coding RNA is filed under the name Equus caballus (horse). Its description in RNAcentral is "lncRNA (ENSECAG00000044097.1)". Lineage: Eukaryota; Metazoa; Chordata; Mammalia; Perissodactyla; Equidae. The record is from RNAcentral.
CUCUCGGCCCGCGGCCUCCUCCGCCUUCUCCUCCCUCCUCCUUUUUUCCCCUCCCCCUCCUCUCUCUUCUCCCUCCCUCUCUUCUUCUCUCCCAACCCCCCACUCUUCUUCCCCCUUCUCCUCUCUCUCCCACCCUCCUGCUCCCCUCCCCCGGCGCUCGGCAGGGCAUGGGGUACCCGGCCGAGGGGAGGACCCCUUCCCUCCCCAGGGAGCUGGAAGCUGUGGAGCUUGAGCCCCGGCCGCUCUGCUCUCCUGUGUCCCGGCGCUUCUGAAUCCACAUCUGCAAACUGAGCAAGUGACGCCCGCCAAGCGGGUUAAAGGCGCGCAGAUGGGUUUCGAGGAGGGUCUUUCGGCAAGUUAAGCUUUUCGCAGGAGUGGCUCCUCCAUAAGGACCCGGAGAGCUAAGAGGCAAGACUGCAACUCCUUAGAGCAAAUAGUUGCUCAAGAGCCUUUGGAAUGCAUUCUGUGACUCAAAAGAAAUUCCCAGGAAUCAGCACUUCAGGACUGAUGGAUCUGUCAAGAAAUGCUCUUGAACACCACGCCCAUCUUUUACUCAUAAACUUAGGCAGAUUGGACUGGGAUUUCUAAGCUUUUGGACUUGAGGCAAGUCAUUGCAAUGUCACCUUCCUCAUCUGUAGCCAAAUGCUUGCAAAGAAUUAAAUCUCAAAGAGUCAUUAACCAAACUUUUAUUGAGUGCUGGUGAGCCAGCUCGGCCCAAGGCUAUAAGCACACAAACAUAGGAAACAAGUAAUACUCCAGCCCUCAAGGAGUUUGCAAUCUCAGGAGGAGACAAGCACAAAUAAUGACAGUGACAAUGCCGUAGGCCAUGGCCAUUCACUUUGAGCAGCUGUCACUUGGCCAAGGGCAGAGAAGAGACGGGUAACAUUAAAGGGGAGAGGCUGGGACUGCAGAACCAGAGAAGAUAGGCCUGGUCUGAAGGGGGAGCCACCAUGAAGCAUGUACCGAUGGCUGACAUGCAGGGCCAGGUUACUAUGUUUCCCGAUCUUUCCAGAGAAGCCAGAAGUCUAAAUACUUCUAUGAAAUCACCUCAUUUCUAAAUGUUGUCAGCUAAUUCAAACUCACAGAAAAACACUUGCAAGACCAUCAAAACUCAGUCUGUGGGCUGCCAGUUGGUAGCUUCUGGCCUGCAACUACCCAGGUCACCAAAAACUAUUCAAAAGUGUGACAAGAACACAAGAAGAUUGAGAGACACUCCUUUAUAGCUACUAUCACUAACGGAAGCAUAAGUGCCAGAUAACCCGGCUCUCUGCUCACUUCAUAGACAAAGUUCCCGUAAAGUCGGCUUUCUGCCUUUACCUUGCCUCAGCCAUACCUCCCAUUCGUGGUCCAGCUUCUGCCCUCACCUCUCCACAGAAAAAGCUCCUAUUAAAGUCACCAAUACGUUUUCUUUGGCGAGACCCUCAAUGGUUAUUUUUCUGAAACAUUUGGCACUGCUCACCAAUCCCUCCUUUUCUGGAACUAUCCUCUCACAGAUUCUGUGUCUCUCUUCUUUCUCUGAUUGUUCUUUCUCAGUCUCCUUCUUGGGUGCCUCUCUCUUUCUCCUUCCUUCCGUUACUAAAAGUUAACUAUUUUUUUUUUAAUUGAGUUAAUGAUAGGUUACAAUCUUGUGAAAUU